CCUACGGGAGGCAGCAGUGGGGAAUAUUGCACAAUGGGGGAAACCCUGAUGCAGCGACGCCGCGUGAAGGAUGAAGUGUUUCGGCAUGUAAACUUCUAUCAGCAGGGAAGAAAAUGACGGUACCUGACUAAGAAGCCCCGGCUAACUACGUGCCAGCAGCCGCGGUAAUACGUAGGGGGCAAGCGUUAUCCGGAUUUACUGGGUGUAAAGGGAGCGUAGACGGUUGUGCAAGUCAGAUGUGAAAGUCCAGGGCUCAACCCUGGGACUGCAUUUGAAACUGUGCAACUAGAGUGUCGGAGAGGUAAGUGGAAUUCCUAGUGUAGCGGUGAAAUGCGUAGAUAUUAGGAGGAACACCAGUGGCGAAGGCGACUUACUGGACGAUAACUGACGUUGAGGCUCGAAAGCGUGGGGAGCAAACAGGAUUAGAUACCCUAGUAGUC
Molecule: ribosomal RNA, 440 nt
Filed under: uncultured bacterium
Lineage: Bacteria
Description: partial 16S ribosomal RNA
Rfam family: Bacterial small subunit ribosomal RNA
Source: RNAcentral